GCCAGACUCCUACGGGAGGCAGCAGUAGGGAAUUUUGCGCAAUGGGCGAAAGCCUGACGCAGCAACGCCGCGUGAUCGAGACGCCCUUCGGGGUGUAAAGAUCUGUCAGUGGGGACGAAACUUGACGGUACCCACAGAGGAAGCACCGGCUAACUCCGUGCCAGCAGCCGCGGUAAUACGGGGGAUGCAAGCGUUAUCCGGAUUUAUUGGGUUUAAAGGGUGCGUAGGCUGUGAGGUAAGUCAGCGGUGAAAUGCCCCCGCUCAACGGGGUGAAGUGCCAUUGAUACUGCCUUGCUGGAAUGCGGAUGCCGUGGGAGGAAUGUGUGGUGUAGCGGUGAAAUGCAUAGAUAUCACACAGAACACCGAUUGCGAAGGCAUCUCACGAAUCCGCGAUUGACGCUGAUGCACGAAAGCGUGGGUAUCAAACAGGAUUAGAUACCCCCGUA
This 446-nucleotide ribosomal RNA is filed under the name uncultured bacterium. Its description in RNAcentral is "bacterial SSU rRNA". It matches the Rfam family "Bacterial small subunit ribosomal RNA", at positions 330 to 792 of the family's 1533-position model. The record is from RNAcentral.